RNAcentral lists this ribosomal RNA (1287 nucleotides) under metagenome. Its description in RNAcentral is "bacterial SSU rRNA". It matches the Rfam family "Bacterial small subunit ribosomal RNA", at positions 242 to 1520 of the family's 1533-position model. The record is from RNAcentral.
UAGCUAGUUGGUGAGGUAAAGGCUUACCAAGGCGACGAUCUGUAGCGGGUCUGAGAGGAUGAUCCGCCACACUGGAACUGAGACACGGUCCAGACUCCUACGGGAGGCAGCAGUGGGGAAUUUUGGACAAUGGGGGCAACCCUGAUCCAGCCAUGCCGCGUGAGUGAAGAAGGCCUUCGGGUUGUAAAGCUCUUUCGGCCGGGAAGAAAUCGCAUGGGCCAAUACCCUGUGUGGAUGACGGUACCGGAAUAAGAAGCACCGGCUAACUACGUGCCAGCAGCCGCGGUAAUACGUAGGGUGCGAGCGUUAAUCGGAAUUACUGGGCGUAAAGCGUGCGCAGGCGGUUUUGUAAGACAGGCGUGAAAUCCCCGGGCUUAACCUGGGAACUGCGUUUGUGACUGCAAGGCUAGAGUACGGCAGAGGGGGGUGGAAUUCCACGUGUAGCAGUGAAAUGCGUAGAGAUGUGGAGGAACACCAAUGGCGAAGGCAGCCCCCUGGGUCGAUACUGACGCUCAUGCACGAAAGCGUGGGUAGCAAACAGGAUUAGAUACCCUGGUAGUCCACGCCCUAAACUAUGUCAACUAGGUGUUGGGUGGGUAAAACCAUUUAGUACCGUAGCUAACGCGUGAAGUUGACCGCCUGGGGAGUACGGCCGCAAGGUUAAAACUCAAAGGAAUUGACGGGGACCCGCACAAGCGGUGGAUGAUGUGGAUUAAUUCGAUGCAACGCGAAAAACCUUACCUACCCUUGACAUGCCAGGAACUUGCCAGAGAUGGCUUGGUGCCCGAAAGGGAGCCUGGACACAGGUGCUGCAUGGCUGUCGUCAGCUCGUGUCGUGAGAUGUUGGGUUAAGUCCCGCAACGAGCGCAACCCUUGUCGUUAAUUGCCAUCAUUUAGUUGGGCACUUUAGCGAGACUGCCGGUGACAAACCGGAGGAAGGUGGGGAUGACGUCAAGUCCUCAUGGCCCUUAUGGGUAGGGCUUCACACGUCAUACAAUGGUCGGUACAAAGGGUUGCCAAGCCGCGAGGCGGAGCCAAUCCCAGAUAGCCGAUCGUAGUCCGGAUUGCAGGCUGCAACUCGCCUGCAUGAAGUCGGAAUCGCUAGUAAUCGUGGAUCAGCAUGUCACGGUGAAUACGUUCCCGGGUCUUGUACACACCGCCCGUCACACCAUGGGAGCGGGUUCCGCCAGAAGUAGGUAGCCUAACCGCAAGGGGGGCGCUUACCACGGCGGGGUUCGUGACUGGGGUGAAGUCGUAACAAGGUAGCCGUAGGGGAACCUGCGGCUG